ACGAUUGACGGAGCGAAGCGACGUCAAAGCGUAUACAAAGUCGAGUCGGUUUAAGGAUACGUUCGUUGGGUAGGGGAGCGUUCUGUAAGCCUGUGAAGGUGGCCUGUGAGGGUUGCUGGAGGUAUCAGAAGUGCGAAUGCUGACAUAAGUAACGAUAAAGCGGGUGAAAAGCCCGCUCGCCGGAAGACCAAGGGUUCCUGUCCAACGUUAAUCGGGGCAGGGUGAGUCGACCCCUAAGGCGAGGCCGAAAGGCGUAGUCGAUGGGAAACGGGUUAAUAUUCCCGUACUUGGUGUUACUGCGAAGGGGGGACGGAGAAGGCUAUGUUGGCCGGGCGACGGUUGUCCCGGUUUAAGCGUGUAGGCUGGUUUUCCAGGCAAAUCCGGAAAAUCAAGGCUGAGGCGUGAUGACGAGGCACUACGGUGCUGAAGCAACAAAUGCCCUGCUUCCAGGAAAAGCCUCUAAGCAUCAGGUAACAUCAAAUCGUACCCCAAACCGACACAGGUGGUCAGGUAGAGAAUACCAAGGCGCUUGA
Molecule: ribosomal RNA, 533 nt
Filed under: Salmonella enterica subsp. enterica serovar Kentucky
Lineage: Bacteria; Pseudomonadati; Pseudomonadota; Gammaproteobacteria; Enterobacterales; Enterobacteriaceae
Description: partial 23S ribosomal RNA
Rfam family: Bacterial large subunit ribosomal RNA
Source: RNAcentral